Molecule: ribosomal RNA, 216 nt
Filed under: Glomeromycotina sp.
Lineage: Eukaryota; Fungi; Glomeromycota
Description: partial small subunit ribosomal RNA
Rfam family: Eukaryotic small subunit ribosomal RNA (bases 40-216)
Source: RNAcentral
GGGUCAGUAGGUUGGUCGUGCCACCGGUACGUACUGGUCUCACUGAUUCCUCCUUCCUGAAGAACCGUAAUGCCAUUAAUUUGGUGUUGCGGGGAAACAGGACUGUUACUUUGAAAAAAUUAGAGUGUUUAAAGCAAGCUAACGCUUGAAUACAUUAGCAUGGAAUAAUGAAAUAGGACGAUCGAUCCUAUUUUGUUGGUCUCUAGGAUUGACGUA